CGAUUUUUUACCUAUCCUAACAACAAUCACAAUCGGAACUUCCGAGGUAAUUCAUGGGCUAACCCUGCACCAAAGACAGUUUAACAAUAGACUGUUGCAUUUGUUAGUCUUCAAACCAACACUUUGAGGUGAAUCAUGACAAACUGCGGAACCUUAUGUUGUAAAAAACGAAGGUCGACUAGGAAGGGAUUAUCACCUAUCAUUUUUCGAAGGAAGUGUAUUGCACUUUCUUGACGUUGACGGGUAACAGGAACUCAGGGGUUGGUUCUGGAGAGGGAGCCUGAGAGAUGGCUACCACAUCUAAGGAAGGCAGCAGGCGCGCAAAUUCUUCAAUAGCCAGAUGGCUGAAAGAGUGACGAUCAAUAACGAUGUACGACCUUUUAGGUUGUGCAAUUGGAAUGACAGCAAUUUAAAGAGUUCAAGGAGGAUCAAUU
Molecule: ribosomal RNA, 434 nt
Filed under: uncultured eukaryote
Lineage: Eukaryota
Description: SSU rRNA
Rfam family: Eukaryotic small subunit ribosomal RNA
Source: RNAcentral